AACAAAGCACUUUCCCCAGUUCUAAAGGAGGCAUGGAGUGGGGGGUGGGGGUGUGGGAUGUCCUGAUGCUGAUAUCCAGUGUAAUAGUAAUCAUCGAUGCGCUCAUUGGACCAGUUAGAUCAGCAGUUUCAGCCCUGUCAGACCCCGCAAGAUCAUUAUUUAAGAUUGCACAAAACCUAUUGUGGUAGACAUGAAUAUUCUGAGACAAUCAUUUAGGGGAAAAUGGCAAAGCCUGGAAGGGAAGAUGAAGAGGAGACAGACAGACAGACAGACAGAUAGUUAUAUAUAUAGAUAUAUAUAUAUGUUGUGAUUGACAACAGAGUAGUGGUGAGGUGGUGAACUGGUGGUGGUGGUCUGGAAAAGCAAUCACAUGCCCUGAAUCUGGCAGAAGGAUAUGAGGGAGUGAGAGACAGAGUGAGUGAAAGAGAGCUCUCUCAAGCCAGAGCAUGUUGACAAAGUGGUGCCUGAAGCUCUCUCAUUAAGUGCCUGGGCACAGA
This 497-nucleotide long non-coding RNA is filed under the name Physcomitrium patens. RNAcentral's name for it is "long non-coding RNA (PPAT_LNC002376)". The record is from RNAcentral. Lineage: Eukaryota; Viridiplantae; Streptophyta; Bryopsida; Funariales; Funariaceae.